This 3213-nucleotide long non-coding RNA is filed under the name Homo sapiens (human). RNAcentral describes it as "non-protein coding lnc-SMIM32-4:3". The record is from RNAcentral. Lineage: Eukaryota; Metazoa; Chordata; Mammalia; Primates; Hominidae.
AGUCUCCUGCUCAAAACAGGAGCGCAGCAGCCGGAGGGAGUGGGGACAAGCUCGCUGAACACUGGGCGUCUCGACAGGGACCAGAGCCUGCAGGACUGUUCCGAGACGCUGCGGUGGCGGCGGCGCCGGAGGACGCGGAGGACUCCCUGGCCACCCGCCCUCCGUGCGCUCUGCCACCGGGCGCUCAGCAGAGACCCCGGGCUGCGGCUGCACUUGCUGAGUGCCUCUCCCCGCCGCCGCAGCCCAGAGGCGCCCAGCACCUGGAGCUCACUGGAGCUGAGGGUCCGAGCUGAGCGGGCUGUUGUAAAGCCGAAAGGCGAGUCAGUGACUGGGACCUCUGUCCUGGCACCGACUCUCGGUCAGUUGGGCGCGGCAGGGCGGGAGGGGCGCGCCAUGGAGGCGCCGGGUCGCGCCAGUAUGCUCCAGGCCAAGUGAAGCGGUCCGGCUGGGGUCGGCGGGACCCGCGGGCCAUGUACGGCGACAUAUUCAACGCCACGGGCGGCCCCGAGGCGGCGGUAGGCAGCGCGCUGGCCCCAGGAGCCACGGUCAAGGCAGAAGGCGCUUUGCCGCUGGAGCUGGCCACUGCGCGCGGUAUGAGGGACGGCGCGGCCACAAAGCCCGACCUGCCCACCUACCUGCUGCUCUUCUUCCUGCUGCUGCUCUCGGUGGCGCUCGUCGUCCUCUUCAUCGGUUGCCAGCUGCGCCAUUCGGCCUUCGCCGCGCUGCCCCACGACCGCUCGCUGCGCGACGCCCGCGCGCCCUGGAAGACGCGGCCGGUGUAGCUUGGGACUGAGCCACGGCCGCCGGGCGCCCCGUCCCGACCUAGCCAAGAGCAGCCAGCUUGAGCCUGGUAGGGAGGGCACGACACCGGGGAUCGCUGGCCCCUGGGAACACGGUGCCCUGACCCAAAGACCCUUCCUGAACUAGAGUGGCAACCCGAGAGGAAAGGGAGACCGAGGCGUCGGGAGCCUGUGUAGGGUCUCGAUCCCAGUACCUGUAGGUACCGUGAUUCUGAUCCCCUGGCCAAAUCUUUCUUCCUCUGGACAGAGGGUCCAGUCGGGAAACCUUCCCGAAAGACGGCGGUCGGGUCGGGAAACCUUCCUGAAAGACGGCGCGCCAGCCCGUCUUGCUUGCUCGCCGCCUGCUGACUUCCUUACUUUGCACACGGAAGGGGCAGGAACCGCAAGCGUGCAACUAGCCUGGAGCUACCCGUCUGGACUCGCAGGCCCUGUGGCUGUUUCCCACAGCUGCUACGGCCUCUCUUGCUCCUUGACACCGAGGAGGACCCCACUAGGAUCCGAGCGUCGUGAACUCACCUGAACUUUGGAAGGUUGGCACUGGGGGGCCGCAUCCCCCUGGGAAAUGACUGAACGCGGGGUUUCAGUGGGUCCCGCCUGGGUCUAAGGACCCAGUUUCUUCUGUGAGCACGGGCAGUGGGAGGCCGGUGGAAAGGCGCAGGGGCCCACCUACGCGUCUCACAUCUUCAGGGGCGCAUUUCUACAAUAAAAACUCACCCAAUUAGACCUAGCGCUGAGAACGUGCUGCUUCACUUUCCAUGAGGACAAGAACAAUGAUUCCAGCCCUACUGCCCUGCCUACCAUAAAGUUGGACCUGUGUUAAUCACUCAAUUGGCAAGUUCUACAAGCAACAAUUCCAAGAAUUUGAUAACUUUGGAGCAAAAGUCCAAAAGUUCAAAGAGAAAGGAUAUGAGUGCUUUCUUAGCUGAAUUUCCCCUUCUUCUCAAUUAUACUUUAGCCAGCUCCCACAAUACCCCACCCCACAUCAAACCACUUCUCAGGCAUAAAGAGAGCUAAUAAAACAUUGAGCUAGAAGCAAUUCAACUAAGAAGUAAAUAUUACAUUAUUUAAAAGGUAAAUUCUAAUACUUAAAAAAUUCACUUCUUGCUUCAGUACUCUCAUUCAUUCAACAAAUAUUGGUAUGCUUACUUAUAACAUAUCAAGAACUGUUCUAGCAGUGGCAACACAGGUCUGUCCUCACAGAUCUUACAUUCCCAUGAGGUAAGACAGUCAAUAAACAGGGUAAAGAAAUAUAUAUGUUGGAUGGUGAUAAACGCUAUGCAGAAUGAAAGGCUUUCUUAGGUACAAAGAACUCAAGAAACACUUUAGAACCAAACCAAUUUCUCUGAGAACCCUUUCAAAAAGAGCUAGAGCUCCAUCUAUAAUCAGCAAAGUAUCUGUCAAAGAAAGCCAAGGAUCAAUGUACAGUGACUACCAGAACAGGUUAGAAGGGCACACUCAUAAACCUUUGCUACUGGUUUGGGGGUUUCAGUUUUAACUUUUCUGUUAAAAUUCUCAGCAUUUAUCUCAAAUGAAAGUAUUAUUUAAAAUGAAAUAAUGAAGGAGGUUUAUUAGAUGGGAAGGGGUAACUGAUUAAGACAAAGUAUAAGGAUCUUUUCAAAAUCCAUCUCUAAACAUCAAUAAACUGCCUCAGAAAAUCUCUCACUAGGAAUUAUACACACACCCAUUUGAUAUAAUAUGGAUAAGUCUUCACCACCAGUCUAAAUCCCUCUUCCCACCUCCCAUCCAACAUACGUUAACAUGGAGAUGGUUAAGCAAGCUGCCCAUAGCUCUUCUUUGAAUUUUCCCUAUAGCCCCAUUACCCUUUUUUUAAACAGAAAAACUGAUUUAGAUAGAAAGAACAAGUUUUGUUUUUGCAAAGCUUAUGAUAGACUUACAAACUCAAUGACAAAAAUCAGUAAUAUUUAAAAUGUUAAAUGGGAAGGGUGUUUUAAAAAUGCUUCCUUCUUUCAAUCAUAAAUACUACAGAGCUCUAAAUAAAUCUUCCUUAUAAGCAUUGCUGCAGUCUACUGACAAUCUUAAAAAUGUUUAUAAAACGAUAGCUGCAUCAAAACUGCUGUAAUACAAAAUAGUAUUAGCCACUGUCCCAACCCCUCAUCACCUGAACUGUUUUGGCUACAGCAACCUGAAAACUAAUUAUCUUAAACCCAAGAGAAGCCAACAUCCUCUUAGUGCUCACUGAACCUUCUUCCGCUAGGACAAGUGUGCUUUUUUAAAAAAUACACUUCUAAAACAACCAGUGAUGUUGCUACAAAAUACCUUACAAAAUGCCUUUUAAGUAAAAAGACAUAGGAAGGAACUGAUUCUCAGAAAUUGGUAGGAAUGUCCAAUCUUUUGGCUUCCCUAGGCCACAGUGAAGUAUAAUUAUCUUGGGCCACACAUAAAACACACUAAC